CAGUAGCCGCGGUAAUACAGAGGUCCCGAGCGUUGUUUGGAUUCACUGGGCGUAAAGGGUGUGUAGGAGGUUGGAUAAGUCAGGUGUGAAAUCCCGCAGCUCAACUGCGGAACUGCAUUCGAUACUGUUCAACUAGAGGAUCGGAGGGGGAAGCGGAAUUCUUGGUGUAGCGGUGAAAUGCGUAGAUAUCAAGAGGAACACCGGUGGCGAAGGCGGCUUCCUGGAAGAUACCUGACUCUGAAACACGAAAGCCAGGGGAGCGAAUGGGAUUAGAUACCCCCGUAGUCCCUGUCUCUUAUAU
RNAcentral lists this ribosomal RNA (301 nucleotides) under uncultured bacterium. RNAcentral's name for it is "partial 16S ribosomal RNA". It matches the Rfam family "Bacterial small subunit ribosomal RNA", at positions 509 to 808 of the family's 1533-position model. The record is from RNAcentral.